GUGUGUGUUCUGCCAUGGAUCAGUGUGAGGACAGAGAGGAGGGAGUCCCUCCCUCUGAAAGGACUCUGUGUGGAGAACAAGAGAACCAGACCACAGCUCAGAGGUCAGAGCCUGAAGUUGAACCCAGCUUUGUUUCCCUGAAGAGUGACCGGUCCAAGGACUUCUUUUUCCACUUCAGAACACACUCUGACUCUGAGUUUCCAUCCAGCUGUGUGUCCCUGAAGAGUGACGGGUCCAGGAGGGAACCCAUUUUAUUUAACAGUGGAGCAGGAGGAGCUGAUGAGGGCGUCAGCCAGCAGAGCUCCCAGGUUCUCCGUGGAGGCUCCGCCCCUCAGCAUCAAAC
This is a long non-coding RNA of Salarias fasciatus (jewelled blenny), 343 nucleotides long. RefSeq lists it as uncharacterized. The record is from RefSeq and is a predicted model, not a curated record. The transcript is spliced from 4 exons. NCBI's taxonomy places the organism in Eukaryota, Metazoa, Chordata, Actinopteri, Blenniiformes, Blenniidae.